ACCUCACGGUUUCCUUUUCCUGCCCUACAGUACGACUCCUUCGGCGCCACUUUAAGAUCCCUUCUUUAAAAAUCCCAUCUGAACGGCUUUUAAAAAUGUGUUGCUGUUGGGGGUUGCGGAGAAAAUUCAUUUUUCCAUGACUUUUCCAAUCAGGUACCGCAUUGGUGCAAAAUUCAUUUUUCCAUGACUUUUCCAAUCGGGUACCGCAUUGGUGCAAAAUUCAUUUUUCCAUGACUUUUCCAAUCAGGUACCGCAUUGGUGCAGGCUUCUUCCCAAAGCAUGUGCCCAGGCCCAGUUCUGUGCAGAGAGGAUGCGGAACAGCAGGCUGAUAGGACUUUCUGGAGCUUCAGUUUUACUAUGAGAUUUGCAACAGCUGAAGUUCAGCAAUUUACAAGGAUCUCCAGAAGUGGAUGGCGCACUGGUUCUUGUUCUAGACCGUGACUUCAUUUUUUCCCUCCCAAUCUGUGGAAUCCUAAGCUGUGGGUUGGAUCCCCCAGUAGCCCUGGAAGGACUGCUGCAUGGAGGCUGGGCUUCUCUCCUUGAAAAUGUUUAUUGGAAAAGAAAAAUAAGUUGCCU
This 576-nucleotide long non-coding RNA is filed under the name Canis lupus dingo (dingo). RNAcentral describes it as "lncRNA (ENSCAFG00020013377.1)". Lineage: Eukaryota; Metazoa; Chordata; Mammalia; Carnivora; Canidae. The record is from RNAcentral.